UCCGUAGGUGAACCUGCGGAAG
This 22-nucleotide non-coding RNA is filed under the name Xenopus tropicalis (tropical clawed frog). The record is from RNAcentral. RNAcentral also lists the same sequence under 1 other name. Lineage: Eukaryota; Metazoa; Chordata; Amphibia; Anura; Pipidae.